This is a long non-coding RNA of Nymphaea colorata (pocket water lily), 596 nucleotides long. RefSeq lists it as uncharacterized. NCBI's taxonomy places the organism in Eukaryota, Viridiplantae, Streptophyta, Magnoliopsida, Nymphaeales, Nymphaeaceae. The record is from RefSeq and is a predicted model, not a curated record. The transcript is spliced from 3 exons.
CCGUCAAGGCAGGGGCAGUCUUAGAAGAUCGGUGGGAAACAAGGGCACAAGUGCUAACUCAGGUCUUUGAAGCUCAGACAUUUGAAGCUAGUAGAAUCUUCUCUUCAUGCCAAUCCGGCUGCUGGCCACCAAGUGUUCAUUCCCCAAAGGCAUAUAUAGGGCUGCGAUAUCUGAUUGUUUGAUGGGCAUGUAGACAAAAGGAGAUGACUAAUCCAUGGACAUCAUUGCUGAUCAUCAUCAAAAUCAAAAGGAAAAGGAAGAGCCAGAUCGCAGAAUUUUCUUUGCACCCCAAUUCGACUGCUGGCCACCAAAUGGGCUUUUCCACAAAAGCAUAUAUAGGGCUGCGAUAUCUGAUCGUUUGACGGGCAUGUAUAAAACAACGUUGCUGAUCAUCAUCAAAAGGAAAAGGAAGUCAACUUGAUCAACUGUGUUCCGAAUAAUUUAAAUGGUAAAUUUCCAUUUAAAUUAACUGUGUUCCUUUAGUGCUUGAGUCAACUUGAUCUCCACACAAGCUCUCAAGUUUAAAUUUAUGCUCGACUCUAGCUAGGUACCCCAUAUAAUUUUGUCAUGUAAUAUUAACCUGUAUAGCUUUCCAU